CUCUCUCUCAUAUCAGUUGAGCUCUUUCUCUCCCUCUCUCUCAUCAGUCGCGGUCUCCGCCGCCACCGUAUCUUGCUCCUCGCGAGCUCCGCCGCGAACUGCUCCGGCGAGGACGACGGCUAGCCGAGCCUCCUCCAUUCGUCUCGUUUCUUCCUCCUUUCAAAAUCGAGCCCUAGCUCUCCCAAAUUAGAAAUCGCCGUCGCCGCCACCUAUGGAAGAACGGCGAACGGUCGCUGGUCGUUGCUCUACCUGACUCGGACGCUCCCUUCGCCCAUCUCCUCUCGGCUUCAAUCGUCCUUCUCUCCCUCGAAUCUAUUGAAGGAACGAAGAAGAAGCCUUAAUUUCUGCCGGAGACAAGGAUACCGCCGCCGCUGCAACUGGAAGGCCGACUUCGCCGCGCCGCUGCGCUCUCGGCGGCAGCCGCUGGUCAUCAGGCCGCCGAUCCUCGACUGCUCCCUCCUCACCUUACUACCUUUCUUUCAAAGUCGAGUGAAAUUAAAAAGGGAAGAAACCCGAGUUCCUCAGUCAGAAAUAGUCUCCGCCGCCCCUGAAAUCUCCGCGACAUUGUCACCUCAAGCCGGCGUCGCUCCGCCUAAAACUCUACCGCUGCCGCGCACCGAGCCGCUGCUGCUAUUCCAGAAUCGGCGAGGAGCCAUCGCUGGGGUCGGGAGUCGUCUGCCCUCCACCGGUCGACGCUGUCGACGCUGCUGUUCUCGGAGUUACCGCCCAGACGUCGUCUCUCGGCCGGACUAAGCAGGGCAGCGCCCCUCUUUUCUAAAAGCUAAGUUCUCGUCUCCCUCUAUUUUCUAUUAGUCCUUAAGUCUACUGAUGUUAUCCCUUAGAGAACAUGUAACUUUGCUAAGUUUAACAUGCUUAUAGUCAUUUAUCAAUCGAGACUAGUCAUGCUUUGAAAUGAAUGCGAACUGGAUUGAAUACUAGGGAUAGUGAAAUACCUUGAAUAUGUUCAAAUUGAUUGGUUGCUGUUGAGGUAUUAGAGGAACUGGGAUAACUGUUCUGAAAAGAUCGAACUUGUUCCUUUCAAUAAAUGUAAGUUGCAAAUGGGAAGGAGAUGACGAAUCAAAGCUACUCUUACCUUAAAGUUUGGCAGAGCAAUGAAUGCGUGGUUUAUCUUGCUUUUCGGGUAUGGCGUGUCGAAUGAACUAGAACUGAAAAUUGGUGUUGUUGUUUCAGCAAUUGCAGGUGAUCAAUGGAAGAAGAUGGAAGGAGUAAAGCCAAGCUUACCUUAAGGAUUUGGCAGAAAGCAAUGAAGAUACCCGAGAAAGAGGUGGAUGAAUUUACACAAGAUUUCACCUUGAACUUGGCAGGGCACCAAAUGAAGAGCAGUGCAAUCCUUCCUGUUUUUGCUAGAAAUAUUAAGUGUGGAAUGGAACGAAUGAAGGUUACUUGCUGCUGCAGUUUGAAACAAAAGGAAGUUGUUGGGUGUGGAAUGCACACUUGAGUGAGCUAGGGAGAAGGGUGCAGAGGGAUGGGGGCAGCCAUACCUGCUGUACUUGGCAGCAGAGGGGAAGGGUGGAGAGAGGCUGCCCUCUUGCAGCUCACGCUCCCACCUCCCUUUUUCUCUUUCUUUUUGUACUUGCUAGAUUAUGGUGUACUUAGGAAGAUAUGAAUGAAAGUUGAUUGUGAGCAAAAGGUUGCAAAGUUUGAUAAUGAUAUUGUGGUGAAUAAACGCAGUAUUUUCUUA
Molecule: long non-coding RNA, 1702 nt
Organism: Salvia miltiorrhiza (redroot sage)
Lineage: Eukaryota; Viridiplantae; Streptophyta; Magnoliopsida; Lamiales; Lamiaceae
Exons: 2
Source: RefSeq, a predicted model, not a curated record